RNAcentral lists this ribosomal RNA (652 nucleotides) under uncultured cyanobacterium. RNAcentral's name for it is "bacterial SSU rRNA". It matches the Rfam family "Bacterial small subunit ribosomal RNA", at positions 123 to 804 of the family's 1533-position model. Lineage: Bacteria; Bacillati; Cyanobacteriota. The record is from RNAcentral.
AAUUUGCCUUUAGGAGGGGGAUAACAGAGUGAAAACGCUGCUAAUACCCCAUAUGCUUUCGAGUGAAAUGGAUUUAUUCGCCUAAAGAGAAGCUCGCGGCUGAUUAGCUUGUUGGUAAGGUAAUGGCUUACCAAGGCGACGAUCAGUAUCUGGUUUGAGAGGACGAUCAGACACACUGGAACUGAGACACGGUCCAGACUCCUACGGGAGGCAGCAGUGGGGAAUUUUCCGCAAUGGGCGAAAGCCUGACGGAGCAAUACCGCGUGAGGGAUGACGGCCUAUGGGUUGUAAACCUCUUUUCUCAGGGAGGAAAUCAAUGACGUUACCUGAGGAAUAAGCAUCGGCUAACUCCGUGCCAGCAGCCGCGGUAAGACGGAGGAUGCAAGUGUUAUCCGGAAUCACUGGGCGUAAAGCGUCUGUAGGUGGCUUAGCAAGUCAACUGUUAAAUCUUGAAGCUCAACUUCGAAAUCGCAGUCGAAACUGUUAGGCUAGAGUAUAGUAGGGGUAAAGGGAAUUUCCAGUGGAGCGGUGAAAUGCGUANAGAUUGGAAAGAACACCGAUGGCGAAGGCACUUUACUGGGCUAUUACUGACACUCAGAGACGAAAGCUAGGGUAGCAAAUGGGAUUAGAUACCCCAGUAGUCCUAGCCGUA